AGUACACCCUUGGCUCCAUGACCCAAUAGCAUUAUCUCAGUUAAUAAUGGGGUUAUGUUUCAUCAACCAGGGAAAUCCCAAGACGACUGGAAAGGCUGGAGAGUAGAUCAAUUGGAGUAAGGUGAUUUCCUCGUAUAAGAUGCCAAUGGCUAAUUUUACAGGUAUUGUUUCAUGGGAAAUCACAGGCUCCGACAGUGAUCUACCAGCUAUGGCCUCAACGGCCAAGGGUGUAGCUCUUAACCUGGAGGGAAGAGAAUGGCUAUCAGCAAAGGCCUGAUCUAUGAAACUCUCUGCUGCUCC
Non-coding RNA from Pelobates cultripes (western spadefoot toad), 300 nucleotides. NCBI's taxonomy places the organism in Eukaryota, Metazoa, Chordata, Amphibia, Anura, Pelobatidae. The record is from the annotation of a GenBank genome assembly.